Molecule: ribosomal RNA, 396 nt
Filed under: uncultured bacterium
Lineage: Bacteria
Description: bacterial SSU rRNA
Rfam family: Bacterial small subunit ribosomal RNA
Source: RNAcentral
GUGCCAGCAGCCGCGGUAAUACGUAGGGUGCGAGCGUUAAUCGGAAUUACUGGGCGUAAAGCGUGCGCAGGCGGUCUUUUAAGACAGGUGUGAAAUCCCCGAGCUUAACUUGGGAAUUGCGCUUGUGACUGGAAGGCUCGGAGUGCGGAAGAGGGAGCUGGAAUUCCUGGUGUAGCAGUGAAAUGCGUAGAGAUCAGGAGGAACACCGAUGGCGAAGGCAGGCUCCUGGGCCAGCACUGACGCUCAUGCACGAAAGCGUGGGGAGCAAACAGGAUUAGAUACCCUGGUAGUCCACGCCCUAAACGAUGUCGACUAGUUGUUGGGGAAGGAGACUUCCUUAGUAACGAAGCUAACGCGUGAAGUCGACCGCCUGGGGAGUACGGCCGCAAGGUUAAA